RNAcentral lists this transfer RNA (72 nucleotides) under Gloeochaete wittrockiana. RNAcentral's name for it is "tRNA-Met". It matches the Rfam family "tRNA". From Rfam's summary of the family: Transfer RNA (tRNA) molecules are approximately 80 nucleotides in length. Their secondary structure includes four short double-helical elements and three loops (D, anti-codon, and T loops). Lineage: Eukaryota; Glaucocystophyceae; Gloeochaetales; Gloeochaetaceae. The record is from RNAcentral.
UGCGGAGUAGAGCAGCGGUAGCUUGUCAGUCUCAUAAUCUGAAGGUCGAAGGUUCGAGUCCUUUCUCCGCUU